This 382-nucleotide ribosomal RNA is filed under the name Bacillus sp. mrc49. RNAcentral describes it as "bacterial SSU rRNA". It matches the Rfam family "Bacterial small subunit ribosomal RNA", at positions 357 to 731 of the family's 1533-position model. Lineage: Bacteria; Bacillati; Bacillota; Bacilli; Caryophanales; Bacillaceae. The record is from RNAcentral.
GGGAAUCUUCCGCAAUGGACGAAAGUCUGACGGAGCAACGCCGCGUGAACGAAGAAGGCCUUCGGGUCGUAAAGUUCUGUUGUUAGGGAAGAACAAGUACCAGAGUAACUGCUGGUACCUUGACGGUACCUAACCAGAAAGCCACGGCUAACUACGUGCCAGCAGCCGCGGUAAUACGUAGGGGGCAAGCGUUGUCCGGAAUUAUUGGGCGUAAAGCGCGCGCAGGUGGUUCCUUAAGUCUGAUGUGAAAGCCCACGGCUCAACCGUGGAGGGUCAUUGGAAACUGGGGAACUUGAGUGCAGAAGAGGAAAGUGGAAUUCCAAGUGUAGCGGUGAAAUGCGUAGAGAUUUGGAGGAACACCAGUGGCGAAGGCGACUUUCUG